RNAcentral lists this ribosomal RNA (538 nucleotides) under Ulocladium sp. S2. RNAcentral's name for it is "eukaryotic LSU rRNA". The stretch from base 167 to 320 matches the Rfam family "5.8S ribosomal RNA". The record is from RNAcentral. Lineage: Eukaryota; Fungi; Ascomycota; Dothideomycetes; Pleosporales; Pleosporaceae. RNAcentral also lists the same sequence under 1 other name.
GGGCUCGUAUGCAGCGGGCUGGCAUCCUUCGGGGUUACAGCCUUGCUGAAUUAUUCACCCGUGUCUUUUGCGUACUUCUUGUUUCCUUGGUGGGUUCGCCCACCAUAGGACAAACCAUAAACCUUUUGUAAUUGCAAUCAGCGUCAGUAAAAAAAUUAAUAAUUACAACUUUUAACAACGGAUCUCUUGGUUCUGGCAUCGAUGAAGAACGCAGCGAAAUGCGAUAAGUAGUGUGAAUUGCAGAAUUCAGUGAAUCAUCGAAUCUUUGAACGCACAUUGCGCCCUUUGGUAUUCCAAAGGGCAUGCCUGUUCGAGCGUCAUUUGUACCCUCAAGCUUUGCUUGGUGUUGGGCGUCUUGUCUCCAGUUCGCUGGAGACUCGCCUUAAAGUAAUUGGCAGCCGGCCUACUGGUUUCGGAGCGCAGCACAAGUCGCGCUCUCUUCCAGCCAAGGUCAGCAUCCACAAAGCCUUUUUUCAACUUUUGACCUCGGAUCAGGUAGGGAUACCCGCUGAACUUAAGCAUAUCAAUAAGCGGAGGA